Molecule: ribosomal RNA, 744 nt
Filed under: uncultured bacterium
Lineage: Bacteria
Description: bacterial SSU rRNA
Rfam family: Bacterial small subunit ribosomal RNA
Source: RNAcentral
AGAGUUUGAUCCUGGCUCAGAACGAACGCUGGCGGCAGGCCUCAAACAUGCAAGUCUAGGGGGUGUAGCAAUACAUCACCGGCGGACGGGUGCGUAACACGUGGGAAUAUACCUUUUGGUUCGGAACAACGCAGGGAAACUUGCGCUAAUACCGAAUGUGCCCUUACGGGGAAAGAUUUAUCGCCAAAGGAUUAGCCCGCGUCCGAUUAGCUAGUUGGUGAGGUAAUGGCUCACCAAGGCUCCGAUCGGUAGCUGUUCUGAGAGGAAGAUCAGCCACACUGGGACUGAGACACGGCCCAGACUCCUACGGGAGGCAGCAGUUGGGAAUCUUGGACAAUGGGGGAAACCCUGAUCCAGCCAUGCCGCGUGAGUGAUGAAGGCCUUCGGGUUGUAAAACUCUUUCGACGGGGACGAUAAUGACGGUACCCGUAGAAGAAGCUCCGGCUAACUUCGUGCCAGCAGCCGCGGCAAUACGAAGGGGGCUAGCGUUGUUCGGAAUUACUGGGCGUAAAGCGCGCGCAGGCGGUCUUCCAAGUCAGUGGUGAAAGCCCGGAGCUCAACUCCGGAACUGCCAUUGAAACUGUAAGACUUGAGGAUGAGAGAGGUGAGUGGAAUUCCCAGUGUAGAGGUGAAAUUCGUAGAUAUUGGGAAGAACACCGGUGGCGAAGGCGGCUCACUGGCUCAUAUCUGACGCUCAGGCGCGACAGCGUGGGGAUCAAACAGGAUUAGAUACCCUAGUAGUCC